RNAcentral lists this transfer RNA (112 nucleotides) under Macrophomina phaseolina. RNAcentral's name for it is "tRNA-Leu". It matches the Rfam family "tRNA". From Rfam's summary of the family: Transfer RNA (tRNA) molecules are approximately 80 nucleotides in length. The record is from RNAcentral. Lineage: Eukaryota; Fungi; Ascomycota; Dothideomycetes; Botryosphaeriales; Botryosphaeriaceae. RNAcentral also lists the same sequence under 1 other name.
GGCGAGGUGGCCGAGUGGUUAUGGCGCUAGUUUCAGGACAUCUGGAAUCCAGAGUUCCGAAAAGGAUCUACUAGUGGAGCAAUCCUCGUGGGUUCGAGUCCCACCCUCGUCA